CCUACGGGAGGCAGCAGUGGGGAAUCUUGGUCAAUGGGCGCGAGCCUGAACCAGCAACGCAGCGUGAAGGAAGACUGCCUUCCGGUUUUUAAACUCUUUUUAUAAAGGAAUAAAGUGUGGCACGUGUCCCUUUAUGUAUGUACUGUAUGUAUAAGGAUAGCCUAACUCCGUGCCAGCAGCCGCGGUAAUUCGGAGGAUCCGAGCGUUAUCCGGAUCGAUUGGGUGUAAAGGGAGCGUAGAUGGGUUGUUAAGUCAGUUGUGAAAGUUUGCGGCUGAACCGGAAUAUUGCAGUUGAUACUGGCAGUCUUGAGUACAGUUGAGGUAGGCGGAAGUCGUGGUGUAGCGGUGAAAUGCUUAGAUAUCACGAGGAACUCCGAUUGCGAAGGCAGCUUGCUGAACUGCCACUGACACUGAGGCUCGAAAGUGUGGGUAUCAAACAGGAUUAGAUACCCCUGUAGGC
This 460-nucleotide ribosomal RNA is filed under the name uncultured bacterium. Its description in RNAcentral is "partial 16S ribosomal RNA". It matches the Rfam family "Bacterial small subunit ribosomal RNA", at positions 338 to 795 of the family's 1533-position model. The record is from RNAcentral.